ACCCUCCGCCGCCGCAUGGCCAUCCCCCUCCUCGUCCCCCACAUGAACCUCCACGACGCCAAGCUCGGUGGCUACGACAUCCCCGCCGAGAGCAAGAUCCUCGUCAACGCCUGGUGGCUCGCCAACAACCCCGACAACUGGAAGAACCCCGACGAGUUCCGCCCCGAGAGAUUCUUAGCGGAGGAGGCCAAGGUGGAAGCCAAUGGCAAUGACUUCAGGUACUUGCCCU
Molecule: long non-coding RNA, 229 nt
Filed under: Phoenix dactylifera (date palm)
Lineage: Eukaryota; Viridiplantae; Streptophyta; Magnoliopsida; Arecales; Arecaceae
Description: long non-coding RNA (PDAC_LNC005854)
Source: RNAcentral